UCUGGCUCAGGACGAACGCUGGCGGCGUGCCUAAUACAUGCAAGUCGAGCGGACAGAUGGGAGCUUGCUCCCUGAUGUUAGCGGCGGACGGGUGAGUAACACGUGGGUAACCUGCCUGUAAGACUGGGAUAACUCCGGGAAACCGGGGCUAAUACCGGAUGGUUGUUUGAACCGCAUGGUUCAAACAUAAAAGGUGGCUUCGGCUACCACUUACAGAUGGACCCGCGGCGCAUUAGCUAGUUGGUGAGGUAACGGCUCACCAAGGCAACGAUGCGUAGCCGACCUGAGAGGGUGAUCGGCCACACUGGGACUGAGACACGGCCCAGACUCCUACGGGAGGCAGCAGUAGGGAAUCUUCCGCAAUGGACGAAAGUCUGACGGAGCAACGCCGCGUGAGUGAUGAAGGUUUUCGGAUCGUAAAGCUCUGUUGUUAGGGAAGAACAAGUACCGUUCGAAUAGGGCGGUACCUUGACGGUACCUAACCAGAAAGCCACGGCUAACUACGUGCCAGACCCC
Molecule: ribosomal RNA, 516 nt
Filed under: Bacillus subtilis
Lineage: Bacteria; Bacillati; Bacillota; Bacilli; Caryophanales; Bacillaceae
Description: bacterial SSU rRNA
Rfam family: Bacterial small subunit ribosomal RNA
Source: RNAcentral